Molecule: ribosomal RNA, 933 nt
Filed under: uncultured archaeon
Lineage: Archaea
Description: bacterial SSU rRNA
Rfam family: Archaeal small subunit ribosomal RNA
Source: RNAcentral
UUCCGGUUGAUCCCGCCGGACCCGACUGCUAUUUGGGUGAGAAUAAGCCAUGCGAGUUGAAUGGGAUACCUAAAGUUCCCAUAGCAAACUGCUCAGUAACACAUGAUCAACUUACCCUAUAGAGAAAAAUAACCUCGGGAAACUGAGGAUAAUGUUUCAUAAUUGAAUUGGCUUGGAAAAGUUUUUCAAUGAAAGGGAUAAAAAAAAUGGUUUUUAUCUGCUAUAGGAUAGGAUCGUGUUCGAUUAUGGUUGUUGGUGAGAUAAUGGCUCACCAAGCCGAUAAUCGAUAGGGGCCGUGAGAGCGGGAGCCCCGAGAUGGGUACUGAGACAACGACCCAGGCCUUACGAGGCGCAGCAGGCGCGGAACCUCCGCAAUACACGAAAGUGUGACGGGGUUACCCAAAGUGUUCAAUAGAACUGUGGUAGGUGAGUAAUGUCCCCUACUAGAAAGGAGAGGGCAAGGCUGGUGCCAGCCGCCGCGGUAAAACCAGCUCUUCAAGUGGUCGGGAUAAUUAUUGGGCUUAAAGUGUCCGUAGCCGGUUUAGUAAGUUCCUGGUAAAAUCGGGUAGCUUAACUAUCUGCAUGCUAGGAAUACUGCUAUACUAGAGGGCGGGAGAGGUCUGAGGUACUACAGGGGUAGGGGUGAAAUCUUAUAAUCCUUGUAGGACCACCAGUGGCGAAGGCGUCAGACUGGAACGCGCCUGACGGUGAGGGACGAAAGCCAGGGGAGCGAACCGGAUUAGAUACCCGGGUAGUCCUGGCCGUAAACGAUGCAUACUAGGUGAUGGUACGGCCAUGAGCCGUAUCAGUGCCGUAGGGAAACCGUUAAGUGUGCCGCCUGGGAAGUACGGUCGCAAGGCUAAAACUUAAAGGAAUUGGCGGGGGAGCACCACAAGGGGUGAAGCCUGCGGUUCAAUUGGAUUCAACGCCGGG